AUCACCUGGAAUCUUGCUAAAAGGCAGAUUCUGGUUCAGUUGGUCCGGGAUGGGCCUGAGAGUCUGCAUUUCCAACAAGCUCACAAGUGAUGCAGU
Molecule: microRNA precursor, 96 nt
Filed under: Camelus bactrianus (Bactrian camel)
Lineage: Eukaryota; Metazoa; Chordata; Mammalia; Artiodactyla; Camelidae
Also listed under: 2 other names
Description: mir-544 microRNA precursor family
Rfam family: mir-544 microRNA precursor family
Source: Rfam by way of RNAcentral